This 73-nucleotide transfer RNA is filed under the name Paramuricea clavata. It matches the Rfam family "tRNA". From Rfam's summary of the family: Transfer RNA (tRNA) molecules are approximately 80 nucleotides in length. Their secondary structure includes four short double-helical elements and three loops (D, anti-codon, and T loops). Further hydrogen bonds mediate the characteristic L-shaped molecular structure. tRNAs have two regions of fundamental functional importance: the anti-codon, which is responsible for specific mRNA codon recognition, and the 3' end, to which the tRNAs corresponding amino acid is attached (by aminoacyl-tRNA synthetases). tRNAs cope with the degeneracy of the genetic code in two manners: having more than one tRNA (with a specific anti-codon) for a particular amino acid; and 'wobble' base-pairing, i.e. permitting non-standard base-pairing at the 3rd anti-codon position. The record is from Rfam by way of RNAcentral. Lineage: Eukaryota; Metazoa; Cnidaria; Anthozoa; Malacalcyonacea; Plexauridae.
GACUGCGUAGCUCAGUUGGCAGAGCAUUGGGCUAGUAUUCCAAAGGUUGUAGGUUCGAUUCCCGCCAUGGUCA